RNAcentral lists this ribosomal RNA (253 nucleotides) under uncultured bacterium. Its description in RNAcentral is "partial 16S ribosomal RNA". It matches the Rfam family "Bacterial small subunit ribosomal RNA", at positions 524 to 776 of the family's 1533-position model. The record is from RNAcentral.
UACCGAGGUCCCAAGCGUUGUUCGGAUUCACUGGGCGUAAAGGGUGCGUAGGUGGUUGGGUAAGUUUGAUGUGAAAUCUCUGAGCUCAACUCAGAAACUGCAUUGAAUACUAUCCGGCUAGAGAAUCGGAGGGGGGACUGGAAUACUUGGUGUAGCAGUGAAAUGCGUAGAUAUCAAGUGGAACACCAGUGGCGAAGGCGAGUCCCUGGACGAUUUCUGACACUGAGGCACGAAAGCUAGGGGAGCAAACAGG